CGUGUAGGCGGUCCGCUAAGUCUGAUGUGAAAGCCCGGGGCUCACCCCCGGAAGGGCAUUGGAAACUGGCGGACUCGAGUCCCGGAGAGGAAGGUGGAAUUCCUGGUGUAGCGGUGAAAUGCGUAGAUAUCAGGAGGAAUACCGGUGGCGAAGGCGGCCUUCUGGACGGUGACUGACGCUGAGACGCGAAAGCGUGGGGAGCAAACA
RNAcentral lists this ribosomal RNA (207 nucleotides) under uncultured bacterium. RNAcentral describes it as "partial 16S ribosomal RNA". It matches the Rfam family "Bacterial small subunit ribosomal RNA", at positions 568 to 774 of the family's 1533-position model. The record is from RNAcentral.